AACGAACGCUGGCGGCGUGCCAAUACAUGCAAGUCGAGCGAAUGGAUUAAGAGCUUGCUCUUAUGAAGUUAGCGGCGGACGGGUGAGUAACACGUGGGUAACCUGCCCAUAAGACUGGGAUAACUCCGGGAAACCGGGGCUAAUACCGGAUAACAUUUUGAACCGCAUGGUUCGAAAUUGAAAGGCGGCUUCGGCUGUCACUUAUGGAUGGACCCGCGUCGCAUUAGCUAGUUGGUGAGGUAACGGCUCACCAAGGCAACGAUGCGUAGCCGACCUGAGAGGGUGAUCGGCCACACUGGGACUGAGACACGGCCCAGACUCCUACGGGAGGCAGCAGUAGGGAAUCUUCCGCAAUGGACGAAAGUCUGACGGAGCAACGCCGCGUGAGUGAUGAAGGCUUUCGGGUCGUAAAACUCUGUUGUUAGGGAAGAACAAGUGCUAGUUGAAUAAGCUGGCACCUUGACGGUACCUAACCAGAAAGCCACGGCUAACUACGUGCCAGCAGCCGCCGUAA
RNAcentral lists this ribosomal RNA (514 nucleotides) under uncultured bacterium. RNAcentral describes it as "partial 16S ribosomal RNA". It matches the Rfam family "Bacterial small subunit ribosomal RNA", at positions 29 to 523 of the family's 1533-position model. The record is from RNAcentral.